RNAcentral lists this ribosomal RNA (429 nucleotides) under Verrucomicrobiota bacterium. RNAcentral describes it as "Verrucomicrobia bacterium partial 16S ribosomal RNA". It matches the Rfam family "Bacterial small subunit ribosomal RNA", at positions 355 to 776 of the family's 1533-position model. Lineage: Bacteria; Pseudomonadati; Verrucomicrobiota. The record is from RNAcentral.
UAGGGAAUCUUCGGCAAUGGGGGGAACCCUGACCGAGCAACGCCGCGUGAGUGAAGAAGGUUUUCGGAUCGUAAAGCUCUGUUGUUAAGGAAGAACGAGUGUGAGAAUGGAAAGUUCAUGCUGUGACGGUACUUAACCAGAAAGGGACGGCUAACUACGUGCCAGCAGCCGCGGUAAUACGUAGGUCCCGAGCGCUGUCCGGAUUUAUUGGGCGUAAAGCGAGCGCAGGCGGUUAGAAAAGUCUGAAGUGAAAGGCAGUGGCUCAACCAUUGUAGGCUUUGGAAACUGUUUAACUUGAGUGCAGAAGGGGAGGGUGGAAUUCCAUGUGUAGCGGUGAAAUGCGUAGAUAUAUGGAGGAACACCGGUGGCGAAAGCGGCUCUCUGGUCUGUAACUGACGCUGAGGCUCGAAAGCGUGGGGAGCGAACAGG